This 583-nucleotide ribosomal RNA is filed under the name uncultured Cytophagales bacterium. RNAcentral's name for it is "bacterial SSU rRNA". It matches the Rfam family "Bacterial small subunit ribosomal RNA", at positions 9 to 589 of the family's 1533-position model. The record is from RNAcentral. Lineage: Bacteria; Pseudomonadati; Bacteroidota; Sphingobacteriia; Sphingobacteriales.
GAGUUUGAUUCUGGCUCAGGACGAACGCUGGCGGCGGGCUUAACACAUGCAAGUCGAACGUGAAGCCCGGAGCUUGCUCCGGGUGGAAAGUGGCGCACGGGUGCGUAACGCGUAGGCAACCUACCCCCGAGUGGGGAAUAACCUGGGGAAACCCAGGCUAAUACCGCAUAUUGUCCUGGAAGCGCAUGUUUCUUGGAUGAAAGGUUUACUGCUCAGGGAUGGGCCUGCGUCGGAUUAGGUUGUUGGUGAGGUAACGGCUCACCAAGCCUGCGAUCCGUAGCUGGUCUGAGAGGAUGAUCAGCCACACUGGCACUGAGACACGGGCCAGACUCCUACGGGAGGCAGCAGUGAGGAAUAUUGCGCAAUGGGGGCAACCUUGACGCAGCCACGCCGCGUGGUGGAUGACACCCCUAUGGGGCGUAAACACCUUUUGUACGAGAAGAAACCCCGGCUCGGUCGGGUCUGACGGUAUCGUACGAAUAAGCACCGGCUAACUCCGUGCCAGCAGCCGCGGUAAUACGGAGGGUGCAAGCGUUGUCCGGAAUCACUGGGUGUAAAGGGUGUGUAGGCGGAUUAGUAAGUC